Molecule: ribosomal RNA, 253 nt
Filed under: uncultured bacterium
Lineage: Bacteria
Description: partial 16S ribosomal RNA
Rfam family: Bacterial small subunit ribosomal RNA
Source: RNAcentral
UACGGGGGGGGCAAGCGUUGUUCGGAAUUACUGGGCGUAAAGGGCUCGUAGGCGGCCAACUAAGUCGGACGUGAAAUCCCUCGGCUUAACCGGGGAACUGCGUCCGAUACUGGAUGGCUUGAGUUCGGGAGAGGGAUGCGGAAUUCCAGGUGUAGCGGUGAAAUGCGUAGAUAUCUGGAGGAACACCGGUGGCGAAGGCGGCAUCCUGGACCGACACUGACGCUGAGGAGCGAAAGCCAGGGAGCAAAGCGGG